AGCCUUCUGUAUCCGUGCUGAAAUUUCAUCACACACUAGAUCACAAGGCCUGAUGAGACUCCCAAGGUCGGUGAAGCG
Molecule: non-coding RNA, 78 nt
Organism: Schistosoma haematobium
Lineage: Eukaryota; Metazoa; Platyhelminthes; Trematoda; Strigeidida; Schistosomatidae
Source: Rfam